Long non-coding RNA from Hibiscus syriacus, 375 nucleotides. RefSeq lists it as uncharacterized. The record is from RefSeq and is a predicted model, not a curated record. Lineage: Eukaryota; Viridiplantae; Streptophyta; Magnoliopsida; Malvales; Malvaceae. The transcript is spliced from 3 exons.
AACCCAGUUCAUAUCCAAAAGGAAUGGAGCAAAACAUUGGAAGCAUCCCCUUGAAGGUUGGCAUAAGUAUGGAGAAUGUCCAGAAGGAACAAUCCCCAUUGUUAGAUCUCAACAACACAAACCUGGGUGGAAAGCAACCUUUUUUCCUCGUGGUAAACAGCUUGAGGUUAAUGUUGGCAGUGAUCACGAGUAUGCUCAAGUUUCUGCACUGAUGGCAACUAUUUCGGAGCAAGUGCUCGGCUAAUGUAUGGAAACCAGCAACAUUUAAUAACGAGAUUAGCUUAGCACAAAUUUGGGUUUUCUCGGGAAAUGAGAUGUAUGACUGUGGAAGCUGGAUGGCAAGCUUUCACGAACACGAAUCAUACACUUUUAUUC